CCCCCCUUCAAGCUCGCUUGAAGGUUUUUCUUUGUACAAGAGAAAUCAAGACCGCAGGCGGUCUUGAUGGGGGGUGAGUGGCAGACGGGUGAGUAACGCGUGGGAACCUACCCAUUGGUGCGGAAUAACCCGGGGAAACCCGUGCUAAUACCGCAUACGCCCUGGUUUUAGGAUCGGGGGAAAGAUUCAUCGCCGAUGGAUGGGCCCGCGUCGGAUUAGCUUGUUGGUGUGGUAACGGCACACCAAGGCGACGAUCCGUAGCUGGUCUGAGAGGAUGAUCAGCCACACUGGGACUGAGACACGGCCCAGACUCCUACGGGAGGCAGCAGUGGGGAAUAUUGGACAAUGGGCGCAAGCCUGAUCCAGCCAUGCCGUGUGAGUGAAGAAGGCCUUAGGGUUGUAAAUCUCUUUCGGCGGGGAAGAUAAUGACGGUACCCGCAGAAGAAGCCCCGGCUAACUCCGUGCCAGCAGCCGCGGUAAUACGGAGGGGGCUAGCGUUGUUCGGAAUUACUGGGCGUAAAGGGCACGUAGGCUGGCUGUUAAGUCGGGGGUGAAAUCCUGAGGCUCAACCUCAGAAUUGCCUCCGAUACUGGCGGUCUUGAGUGCGGGAGAGGUGAGUGGAAUUCCCAGUGUAGAGGUGAAAUUCGUAGAUAUUGGGAAGAACACCAGUGGCGAAGGCGGCUCACUGGCCCGCAACUGACGCUGAGGUGCGAAAGCGUGGGGA
RNAcentral lists this ribosomal RNA (724 nucleotides) under uncultured Pseudomonadota bacterium. Its description in RNAcentral is "bacterial SSU rRNA". It matches the Rfam family "Bacterial small subunit ribosomal RNA", at positions 43 to 767 of the family's 1533-position model. The record is from RNAcentral. Lineage: Bacteria; Pseudomonadati; Pseudomonadota.